This 220-nucleotide unclassified non-coding RNA is filed under the name Hevea brasiliensis (rubber tree). The record is from RNAcentral. Lineage: Eukaryota; Viridiplantae; Streptophyta; Magnoliopsida; Malpighiales; Euphorbiaceae.
GUCUCGCCAAAGCUUAGGCAAAAGACCAAUCAAACAGAAAAAGCAGACGUGAUCUAAGCGAGUGAAGUGCCAAUUCCCUUUAUGAGGGUUCGAGUCGAAGCAUACGAGCAGGAGUUUCGUACGAGUUUUAGACCAAGAGAGAUAAGGGAGACUCGACUAGCAGGAGAGGACUGAGUUGAAUAUUCUAUUACAGUGAUAUUACAGUGAAUCUGGCUAAAGG